CCUGGCUCAGGAUGAACGCUAGCUACAGGCUUAACACAUGCAAGUCGAGGGGCAGCAUCAUCAAAGCUUGCUUUGAUGGAUGGCGACCGGCGCACGGGUGAGUAACACGUAUCCAACCUGCCGACAACACUGGGAUAGCCUUUCGAAAGAAAGAUUAAUACCGGAUGGCAUAAUUAUUCCGCAUGGGAUAAUUAUUAAAGAAUUUCGGUUGUCGAUGGGGAUGCGUUCCAUUAGGCAGUUGGCGGGGUAACGGCCCACCAAACCUACGAUGGAUAGGGGUUCUGAGAGGAAGGUCCCCCACAUUGGAACUGAGACACGGUCCAAACUCCUACGGGAGGCAGCAGUGAGGAAUAUUGGUCAAUGGACGAGAGUCUGAACCAGCCAAGUAGCGUGAAGGAUGACUGCCCUAUGGGUUGUAAACUUCUUUUAUACGGGAAUAAAGUGAGCCACGUGUGGCUUUUUGUAUGUACCGUAUGAAUAAGGAUCGGCUAACUCCGUGCCAGCAGCCGCGGUAAUACGGAGGAUUCGAGCGUUAUCCGGAUUUAUUGGGUUUAAAGGGAGCGUAGGCGGGUUGUUAAGUCAGUUGUGAAAGUUUGCGGCUCAACCGUAAAAUUGCAGUUGAUACUGGCGACCUUGAGUGCAACAGAGGUAGGCGGAAUUCGUGGUGUAGCGGUGAAAUGCUUAGAUAUCACGAAGAACUCCGAUUGCGAAGGCAGCUUACUGGAUUGUAACUGACGCUGAUGCUCGAAAGUGUGGGUAUCAAACAGGAUUAGAUACCCUGGUAGUCCACACAGUAAACGAUGAAUACUCGCUGUUGGCGAUAUACAGUCAGCGGCCAAGCGAAAGCAUUAAGUAUUCCACCUGGGGAGUACGCCGGCAACGGUGAAACUCAAAGGAAUUGACGGGGGCCCGCACAAGCGGAGGAACAUGUGGUUUAAUUCGAUGAUACGCGAGGAACCUUACCCGGGCUUAAAUUGCAACUGACGGAACCGGAAACGGUUCUUUCUUCGGACAGUUGUGAAGGUGCUGCAUGGUUGUCGUCAGCUCGUGCCGUGAGGUGUCGGCUUAAGUGCCAUAACGAGCGCAACCCUUACGGGUAGUUACCAUCAGGUUAUGCUGGGGACUCUACCCGGACUGCCGUCGUAAGAUGUGAGGAAGGUGGGGAUGACGUCAAAUCAGCACGGCCCUUACGUCCGGGGCUACACACGUGUUACAAUGGGGGGUACAGAAGGCAGCUACACGGCGACGUGGUGCUAAUCCCAAAAGCCUCUCUCAGUUCGGAUUGGAGUCUGCAACCCGACUCCAUGAAGCUGGAUUCGCUAGUAAUCGCGCAUCAGCCACGGCGCGGUGAAUACGUUCCCGACCGUGCACACACCGCCCG
Molecule: ribosomal RNA, 1381 nt
Filed under: uncultured bacterium
Lineage: Bacteria
Description: bacterial SSU rRNA
Rfam family: Bacterial small subunit ribosomal RNA
Source: RNAcentral